Molecule: ribosomal RNA, 497 nt
Filed under: uncultured bacterium
Lineage: Bacteria
Description: partial 16S ribosomal RNA
Rfam family: Bacterial small subunit ribosomal RNA
Source: RNAcentral
GACGAACGCUGGCGGCGUGCCUAAUACAUGCAAGUAGAACGCUGAAGAGAGGAGCUUGCUCUUCUUGGAUGAGUUGCGAACGGGUGAGUAACGCGUAGGUAACCUGCCUGGUAGCGGGGGAUAACUAUUGGAAACGAUAGCUAAUACCGCAUGAAAUUGCUUAUCGCAUGAUAAUUGAGUGAAAGAUGCAAUUGCAUCACUACCAGAUGGACCUGCGUUGUAUUAGCUAGUUGGUGAGGUAACGGCUCACCAAGGCGACGAUACAUAGCCGACCUGAAGAGGUGGACGGCCAAACUGGGAAUGAGGAACGGCCCAGAACUCUACGGGAGGGAGGAAGAGGGAAUCUUCGGCAAUGGGGAGAAAGCUGACCGAACCAAGCCGCGUGAGUGAAGAAGGUUUUCGGAUCGUAAAGAUCUGUUGUAAGGGGAGAACGAGUGUGGGAAUGGACAGUUCACACUGUGACGGUAUCUUACCAGAAAGGCACGGCUAACUACGUG